GGGUGGUUGGCAGAGCGGUUAGUGCAACCGGCUUUUAACCGGUACUAGAUAGGUUCAACUCCUAUACCACCUA
This 73-nucleotide transfer RNA is filed under the name Phormidium sp. Its description in RNAcentral is "tRNA-Lys". It matches the Rfam family "tRNA". Rfam says of the family: Transfer RNA (tRNA) molecules are approximately 80 nucleotides in length. Their secondary structure includes four short double-helical elements and three loops (D, anti-codon, and T loops). The record is from RNAcentral. RNAcentral also lists the same sequence under 2 other names. Lineage: Bacteria; Bacillati; Cyanobacteriota; Cyanophyceae; Oscillatoriales; Oscillatoriaceae.